This 322-nucleotide ribosomal RNA is filed under the name uncultured archaeon. Its description in RNAcentral is "bacterial SSU rRNA". It matches the Rfam family "Archaeal small subunit ribosomal RNA", at positions 205 to 526 of the family's 1478-position model. The record is from RNAcentral.
UAGGAUGUGGCUGCGGCCGAUUAGGUAGAUGGUGGGGUAACGGCCCACCAUGCCGAUAAUCGGUAUGGGUUGUGAGAGCGAGAACCCGGAGACGGUAUCUGAGACAAGAUGCCGGGCCCUACGGGGCGCAGCAGGCGCGAAACCUUUACACUGCACGACAGUGCGAUAGGGGGACUCCGAGUGUGAGGGCAUAUAGUCCUCGCUUUUGUACACCGUAAGGUGGUAUAGGAAUAAGGACUGGGCAAGACCGGUGCCAGCCGCCGCGGUAAUACCGGCAGUUCGAGUGAUGGCCGAUAUUAUUGGGCCUAAAGCGUCCGUAGCU